This 265-nucleotide ribosomal RNA is filed under the name uncultured bacterium. RNAcentral describes it as "partial 16S ribosomal RNA". It matches the Rfam family "Bacterial small subunit ribosomal RNA", at positions 96 to 354 of the family's 1533-position model. The record is from RNAcentral.
UGGCGAACGGGGUGAGUAACACGUGGGCAACCUGCCCAAAAGAGGGGGAUAACACUUGGAAACAGGUGCUAAUACCGCAUAACCAUAGUUACCGCAUGGUAGCUAUGUAAAAGGUGGCUAUGCUACCGCUUUUGGAUGGGCCCGCGGCGCAUUAGCUAGUUGGUGGGGUAAAGGCUUACCAAGGCAAUGAUGCGUAGCCGAACUGAGAGGUUGAUCGGCCACAUUGGGACUGAGACACGGCCCAAACUCCUACGGAAGGCAGCAG